This 243-nucleotide ribosomal RNA is filed under the name uncultured bacterium. RNAcentral describes it as "partial 16S ribosomal RNA". It matches the Rfam family "Bacterial small subunit ribosomal RNA", at positions 91 to 334 of the family's 1533-position model. The record is from RNAcentral.
CCGACCGGCGCACGGUGAGUAACGCGUAUGCAACUUACCUAUCAGAGGGGGAUAACCCGGCGAAAGUCGGACUAAUACCGCAUGAAGCAGGGGCCCCGCAUGGGGAUAUUUGCUAAAGAUUCAUCGCUGAUAGACAGGCAUGCGUUCCAUUAGGCAGUUGGCGGGGUAACGGCCCACCAAACCGACGAUGGAUAGGGGUUCUGAGAGGAAGGUCCCCCACAUUGGUACUGAGACACGGACCAA